Molecule: long non-coding RNA, 10932 nt
Filed under: Trifolium pratense (red clover)
Lineage: Eukaryota; Viridiplantae; Streptophyta; Magnoliopsida; Fabales; Fabaceae
Description: long non-coding RNA (TPRA_LNC001240)
Source: RNAcentral
GAGAAACUUGAUAGAGAAGGAGGAAGACCCCUUGAAUUGUCAAUUGAAGAGUUUGAUGUCAAUGGUUUCACAGCAGAUCAGGGUUGGAGUAAAAGCAAAUUUAUGCCACCAAGCAUCUUUUAUGCAUAUAGUGAUCCAAAUAAACCUGCAUCUUCUGUUGACAAUAAGGUAGAAAAUUGAAUAAUUAUAGUAUGAUCCUUUAUAUCAUGAAAAAUACGAGGCCAGUUUUAUAACGGUUAUAUAAUAUCAUUUUUAUUGCAGAAAUCAUCGUUUCAGAAGAAAUUUGCUUUGAUCUUUAUUUGUAUUCCUGUUAGUCCUGGUAAUAGCAGACUGAUUUGGUGCUUUCCAAGAAACUUUGGACUGUGGAUUGACAAAAUUGUACCGCGAUGGAUGUUUCAUGUGGGACAAAACUUGGUUCUAGAUUCAGAUUUAUAUCUUCUCCAUGUUGAGGUAAUUCCUUUUAUAAUUUACAAAUCACUUAUCCUGUUGGAGAACAAUGUAAAAGUUUGAUUCAUCGAUUAAUAUUAUUAUAUUAAUUUUUUAUAGGAAAAAAAAAUAUUGGAUGUUGGUCAAGAAAAUUGGCAUAAGGCCUGUUUUGUGCCAACAAAAUCAGAUGCUCUUGUGAUUGGUUUUAGAAAGUGGUUGAAGAAGUAUGCGGGUGGUCAAGUUGAUUGGAGAGGAAAAUAUAGUGGCGCUCUUCCUCCUACACCUCCUAGAGAACAGCUUUUGGACAGGUAACACUCAUAAGAUUGCAUUUGACACAUCGAAGUUUCAGUUUAGUUAUAUUUCAAAAAUAGUGGCAAGUUUCCUUUAACAUGUGAUGUUUUAUGUAUGGCUCUCGGUAUCCUCCGAUACAUGUGAAUCGUUUCUUGAUUUGACAGAAAAUUUAACCUGAUCGAUAUGAAUCUCUAGUGUGUAUAUAUUUUGAACAUGAAUCUCAUCUUAAAUUCCGGUUCUUUAUGAUGAAUCUCGAUCCUUUCUAACAAAUCACUACGUAUAACCUAGUGUGGCCAGCUCUUUGUUGUGAACUUUGUAUAGCUAGUCACUUUUCUUAUGUCGUUUGAUUUAUGUCUUGAAUUUUGAAUUAUUACGAGGUUCAUAUAUCAUAUAUCAACUUAUAAUUUUUCUGUCACUUGUUUUUACUUAAAAAAUGUCUUAGUUUUUAUUUGUAAUGGAUCUUAUGAUUCAUAAGAAGAUUUGGUUCAUGAUUAGAAAAAUAGGUCUUCUUGUUCACUAUUGGAAUAUGAUAUUGAUAACCAUGGUUUUAAGUGGAGAACUUUACUUAUGUCAAGCUUAAACCAAGAAUUCUAAAUAGACUGAUGUUACUAAAUCAUUAAUUGCAAUGCGUAUUUGUACCAUGUUCUUAAUUAAAAAUUAUCAAACUUGAACAGGUACUGGAGCCAUGUGGUGAAUUGCAAGAGUUGCAAUUUGGCAUAUAAGAGCCUCAAUGUGGUGGAAGUGGCGCUGCAGAUCAUAUCAGUUGCUGCAAUUGGGAUUGUUGCCGCAAUGAAGCAGGGUGCAGUUUCAGCUGUAACAAGAAAUUCAUUGGUUGUGCUUGCGGUACUUUCAUUUGCAAUGUCGCGGCUGUUAGCUCACUUCAUAUACAAAUACUUACGUUAUCAUGACUACAACCACGCCUUUCGCUGAAAUGUGUUUCCUUAGUUAUUGAUGUCCAAUUGUUAUAUGUGUAUAUACAUAGUGAAGUUGUACUAAACAAAGCUGGUAAUUAUUGUUACUUAAGAGGAGCUUUGGAACAUUUGUGUCGCUUAAAUAUGAGCAUGAUAACAGCAUGAAGAGAUGAGUUCAAUUAUUUGGAUUCCUGUUUGUCAAAAAAAAUAAAAUUAUUUGGAUUCCUGAAGCAAACAUGUUGCAAUAACUGUCAUGCACAUGCACAUGCACAUGAUUUCUUCACACCCACAAACUGUCAUGCUCUUUUACAAGUUAUAGCUCACAGGUAUGGGUCAACCCACGAACCCGAUCACCCAAAUCAACCCAACCACAUUGGAAUCCAACCCAAUCAAGUUUGGGGCUAACUCGAACUAAUCCAUUUAAAUCCAAUGAUGUUUGGUUUGGAUAGCUAGUUUGAUAUUGAACAUGUGAACUCGCAAACUCAAUGACCGACAAAAUUGAGUCUAAACAAUGAAUAUUGUACUCCUUGCAAAUAAAGGAAGGAAUAAUGGAGUCUCCGUGAUUUAGCUCAGUUGGUAGAGAUAUUCUAUUUUAUAUGUAGGGACCAGAGACUUUAAGGGUGAAAUUUCUAGCUGCUAAGUUAGUAACAAAAAAAAAAAGAAAAGAGGAAGGAAUAAUGGCGCAGCAAAUGGACAAUAAAUGGUGAGACCAGCAUGCCUAAAGAAGGAAUAAUGGCGCAGCAGAUGGACCUGUGGCUGUAGGGAUGAAAAUGGUUUUUCACUCUUAUAAAAAUGUGAACUUCGAGAUGCAUGAUCUCUUAUAAAAAUGCAAUUAAGUGUUGUCACUUUUUUCCGUAAGCUUUGCAGAAGGGAACAGUGGAAGCUAUGUUGGCCUUUUCUGUUCCUUCACUUCACAUCCCAGUAGCAAUUAAAACACAAACACCAUUAAAAAAAUCAAUGUUCUUGAACUCACAAUUGCAUUCAAAACAUUCAUUAAGUAAUGGGAGCACUUCAAAAUUCAAGCUUUUCACUGCCUCAUCACCUUCACCGUUAACAGAGUCCAGUAGUAACUUUCCAUGGGAUGAAUCAGAAGUUGAAGCAGAUUCAGAGAAAUUUGACUGGUACUCACAGUGGUACGCUUUGAUGCCACUUUGUGAUCUUGACAAAAGAGCACCUCAUGCUAAGAAGGUGAUGGGAAUUGAUGUUGUUAUAUGGUGGGAUAGGAAUGAAGGUGAAUGGAAAGUUUUUGAUGAUGCUUGUCCUCAUAGAUUGGCACCUUUGUCUGAAGGAAGAAUUGAUCAAUGGGGUAGGUUGCAGUGUGUGUAUCAUGGUUGGUGUUUUAAUGGAUCAGGUGAUUGUAAGUUCAUUCCUCAAGCACUUCGCGAUGGACCUCCGGUAACUACUCCCUGUUCCUUUUUAUCUGUCGCUUUUUUUGAAGGAGGGGUAUUGUUGCAAAAUGACAAAUAAUUUCAUCAAAACUAACACAAUUUAUUGUUUUCUUAGCAUGUGCAUAAAUGACUUUUAACACAACAACUAAAAAGAAAGAUAGAAUGUACUAUUAAAUCUUGACACAUACACUUUGCACACUGACGGUGAUAACAAUAUGAGAAAAACAAAUGAUUGAAUGUAACUAUAUGUGUUGGUGUCAUGUAAGUAUCAGGCAGCGACACGUGUUGAACACCAACUCGCCAGCAACUUGAAGUGUCGAUAUUACAUAGUCCAGAACACAUUUAGAUGUGUAGCUACCACCAACUUAAUUUCUUCUACUUGCAAUCCCUAUGGAAUAUAGAUGUGUUGCAUUAAACUGAUACUUCCAUUGUUUGUUUUGUUAUCUUGUAGUCCUCAUUUACUUUUGCAUAAACAAAACCGCAGAUUCAUACGUCGAAAAAAGCAUGUGUAGCUGCUUACCCAAGCACAGUGCAGAAUGACAUUUUGUGGUUUUGGCCAAAUACUGAUCCUCAGUACAAAGAUAUUAUCAAACGGAAAACACCCCCAUUCAUGCCAGAAAUUGAUGAUCCAUCAUAUACUAGAGUAAUGGUAAACAGAGAUAUUCCUUAUGGGUAAGAUUUUAAGACAAAUAAAAAAAUAUGAUAUUUCUUUUGUAGAUUGGCCUAGCUUAAUGUGAUCUGAUUUUGGAAGAUGAAAAUAGAACAUUACAUUACAUAUUUACAUUAUGCAUACCCAUGAGCAUAAUUUGCAUGUCAGACCUUAAGAAAACACAAAUAUGUUUUUAGACCUUAUAAAAUAUCUAAUUAGUCUUCGCAUUUUACAAAAAACAUCUUGUUUAUAGAAACUAAACUUAAAAGAUAUGUGAUUUUAUAUAGACUCAGAGGCGGCUUGGAGGCAUGUGCGAGGUGUGCGACGGCAUAGGGCCUCAAAAUUUCGAGGGCCUCAACUCAAAAUUUUGAGGUCCUAUAAUAUUACUUAUAGAUUAUUUAUACCUAUAAAAUAUCAGAUGUAUAUUAAUAGAUUAAUUUUUAAGCCCCAAAAUAAUAGUUANNNNNNNNNNNNNNNNNNNNNNNNNNNNNNNNNAUUUAAUCUUAGAUUAUGAUAUUCCUUUUUGACGUUAUAUACAAAGAUAAUUAUUUUGUAUUUCUUGUUCCAUUUAAUUUAAUGCAAGAUUUAAUAUUGAUAAUUUAUAUGUUUACAAGAAUGUUUUUUUAUAUUAUAUGCAAUUUAAAUCGAUAAUUUUUUUUAUUUUUUUUAUUAAGGGGCCACUUUUAUAUUUUGCACAGAGUCUCCUAAAACUCGGAGACGCCCCUGUAUAGACUACAAACAUAUUUAAUAAAAAAAAGAAGCAUGUCAUCUGAUUAGCAUCUUUUUCUAAUUAAAUUGAAUGUGUAAUUUCAGGUAUGAGGUACUAAUUGAAAACCUCAUGGACCCUGCACAUGUUCCAUAUGCACACUAUGGAGUAAUGAACACUGUACAACCAAAAGGUAUGCAUAUAUAUGAUAAAUGUUUUAACUUCAGAAAAUUCCUAUUUGUUUUUAUAUGAAAAUUACAUAAUUAAAACUUAAUUAAUUUAACAGAGAAAGAUGAUAGAGAAGGAGGAAGACCACUUGAAUUGUCAAUUGAAGAGUUAGAUGUCAACGGUUUCAGAGCAACUCGGGUUUGGAGUAAAAGCAUAUUUAUGGCACCAAGCAUCUUUUACAAUGUGUUUACAUCAAACAACACUUUAUAUGAUCCAAAUUACGCAUAUAGUGAUCCAAAUAAACCUGCAUCUUCCGUUGAAACUAAGGUAGUAGUAAGUAGUAACAAAUUGAGUAGCUAUAAUAUGAUCCUCUAUAUCACGGCGGCCAGUUUUAUAAUGGUGUUAUAUAAUAUAUUUUUUUUGCAGAAAUCAUCGUUUCAGAAGAAAAUUGCUUUGAUCUUUAUUUGCAUUCCUGUUAGUCCUGGUAAUAGCAGACUGAUUUGGUGCUCUCCAAGAAAUUUCGGACUGUGGAUUGACAAAAUUGUACCGCGAUGGAUUUUUCAUCUGAGACAAAACUUGAUUAUAGAUUCAGAUUUAUAUCUUCUACAUGUUGAGGUAAUUCCUUUUAUAAUAUACAAAUCACUUGUCGUGUUGGAAAACAAUUUAGAAGUCUUAUUCAUCAAGUAAUGUUACUAAAUUAAUUUUGAUAGGAAAAGAAAAUAAUGGAUGUUGGUCAAGAAAAUUGGCAUAAGGCCUGUUUUGUGCCAACAAAAUCAGAUGCUCUUGUGAUUGGUUUUAGGAAGUGGUUGAAGAAGUAUGCAGGUGGUCAAGUUGAUUGGAGAGGAAAAUAUAGCGGCGCUCUUCCUCCUACACCUCCUAGAGAACAACUUUUGGACCGGUAAAUCACAUAAGAUUGUGUUUGACACAUUGAAGUUUCAGUUUAGUUAUAUUUUCAUAUGUCAAGUUUCAGUUUAAGUAUGGUUAUCAGUGUUCACCAGUACAUGCAAAUCAUAUCUUGCUUUGACACAAAACUUAACCUAAUCGAUAUGAAUCUCUAGUGUGUAUUUUGAACAUGUUCUUGAUUACAAAUUAUCAAAUUUGAACAGGUACUGGAGCCAUGUGGUGAAUUGCAGAAGUUGCAGUUUGGCCUAUAAGAGCCUCAAUGUGGUGGAAGUGGCGCUGCAGAUCAUAUCAGUUGCUGCAAUUGGGAUUUUUGCCGCAAUGAAGCAGGGUGCAGUUUCAGCUGUAACAAGAAAUUCAAUGGUUCUGAUGGCGGUACUUUCAUUUGCAUUGUCGCUGUUGUUAGCUCACUUCAUAUACAAAUACUUCCGAUAUCAUGACUACGAACAUGCCUUUCACUGAAAUGUGUUUCCUUAGUUAUUGAUGUGAUGAAAUAUCCAACAUUGUUGUGUGUGUGUAGUCAAGUUGUACUAAAACAUAGCUAGUAAUUAUUGGUAUCUAACAUAUUGCUAUAAAAACUGUUAUCCUUCUGUUAUGGAACCUGUGAAGGGAUGUAUGUUGACACUUUCUUAGUGACUCAAAUUCUUAUAUUCUUUGUUGGAUGAGGGCAGUUUUAGUCCUACCAGUACCUUUACUAAAUUUUACAAUUCUUGUCCUACAAGAAAAGAUUCACGCAGUUUUAGUCCCUUCUAAAAUCAAAUUUAGAAUUUUAUAGCAUGACAUGACAUGAGAUUAAAAUAAAUAUGAAUUUUUUAAAAGUCAAAAAGUUCAACUAAAAAAUGUGUCAAAAAAAAGUUCAACUAAAAAUAAUGAAUAUCUGUACUAAAAAUCAAAUUUUGAGUUUUUUUUUUUGUGAAUAAACAUUUUUUUUUUUGACAAGAGAAAACUUAAUUCAUAUCAUUGAUCAAAAUGUUCUCAAUACAACGAAGAAUCGACUCAAAAAUAUAGUGACCAGACAUGGAAUAUGCCGCUCGUGCUAAGGCGUGGGCGGCCAUAUUCGCUUGUCGCUUUACAAAUUUAACCUCAAAGUUGGACUUUGAUAAUAAUAAAGACUUAAUGCUAGAAAUCAACAACUAAACUCAGAUAUUCCUAUUUGGCUAGAAUCAUAUUUGCCGCUUUUUCUGAAAAUAAAGAAUUUAUCUUUUCAACAUCCCAUUGUUUUGAGUUAGGAGUCAUAAGUUGUUGAAUAGAUAAAUUGUACACACCAUAGUGGAGAGAUUAAAUGCUUAUAAUAUGAACUUAAUUGAGUAGCUAUAAUAUGAUCCUCUACAUCACGGCGGCCAGUUUUAUAAUGGUGUUAUAUCAUAUAAUUUUUUUGCAGAAAUCAUCGUUUCAGAAGAAAUUUGCUUUGAUCUUUAUUUGCAUUCCUGUUAGUCCUGGUAAUAGCAGACUGAUUUUGUGCUCUCCAAGAAAUUUCGGACUGUGAAUUGACAAAAUUGUACCGCGAUGGAUGUUUCAUCUGAGACUAAACUUGAUUCUAGAUUCAGAUUUAUAUCUUCUCCAUGUUGAGGUAAUUCCAUUUAUAAUUUACGAAUCAUUGUUGGAGAACAAUGUAGAAGUUUGAUUCAUCAAUUAAUGUUACAAUAUUAAUUUUGAUAGGAAAAAAAAAAUAAUGGAUGUUGGUCAAGAAAAUUGGCAUAAGGCCUGUUUUGUGCCAACAAAAGCAGAUGCUCUUGUGAUUGGUUUUAGAAAGUGGUUGAAGAAGUAUGCAGGUGGUCAAGUUGAUUGGAGAGGAAAAUAUAGCGGCGCUCUUCCUCCUACACCUCCUAGAGAACAGCUUUUGGACAGGUAACCUAAUCGAUAUGAAUCUCAAGUGUGUAUAUAUAUUGAACAUGAAUCUCAUCUUGAAUCCCAGUUCAUUAUGAUGAAUCUCGUUUUAUUAAUGACAAGAAUUUAUUGAGGUUCAUAUAUGAUAUAUCAACUUAAACUUUUGUUAUGUAAAAAAAAAAACUUAAAAUUUGUCACAGAUUUUUCCAUAAAAAUGUCCUAGUUUUCAUUGGUAAUGUAGUUUAUGAUUCAUAAGAAGAUUUGAUUAACGGUUAGAGAAAUAGGUCUUCUGAUUCACUAUUGGAAUAUUAAAUUGAUGACCAUGGUUUUAAGUGGAGAGCUUUAUUAUGUCAAGCUUAAACCAAGUUAUAGGUUCACCUAGUUUGCGUUUGCUUGUUUUUGUUUCCCCACACUUGUUUAUUUUAUGGGUUUGGUUUCGCCCCCCCAUCUUGUAUAUAUAUUUUUCCUUUUUAUAUAUAAAUACAUGAACACUUGGCAGGGGAUGGGAGCCUACGAGAGGUGCCAACCUCGUUGGGAUGUCUUCUAGGUUCUCCGAUGUCAUUAUGUUGUUAAUUCAUCAAAAAAAUGUCAAGCUUAAACCAAGAACUUUCAAAUAUAAAAUUCUAAAAAGAUCAAUGUUACAAAAUCAUUAAUUGCAAUGGGUAUUUGUACCAUGUUCUUGAUUACAAAUUAUCAAAUUUGAACAGGUACUGGAGUCAUGUGGUGAAUUGCAAGAGUUGCAGUUUGGCCUAUAAGAGCCUCCAUGUGGUGGAAGUGGCGUUGCAGAUCAUAUCAGUUGCUGCAAUUGGGAUUGUUGCCGCAGUGAAGCAGGGUGCAGUUUCAGCUGUAACAAGAAAUUCAAUGGUUGUGCUUGCGGUACUUUCAUUCGCAUUGUCGCGGUUGUUAGCUCACUUCAUAUACAAAUACUUACGUUAUCAUGACUACAACCACGCCUUUCACUGAAACAAAGCUGGUUAAUGGUUGUGUUUCCUUAGUUAAUGAUGUCCAACAUUAUUGUGUGUGUGUGUGUGUACUAAAACAAAGCUAGUAAUUAUUGGUGUGUGUACAUAAGUUGUACUAAAACAAAGCUAGUAAUUAUUGGUGUGGCUAAAAUAUGAGCAUAAUAACAGCAUGAAGAGAUGAGUUCAAUUAUUUGAAUUCCUGUAUAAAUACUGUUUUUCUUCUCUUGUGGAACCUGUGAAGGGAUGUAUGUUACUUUCAUAGUAACCCAAAUUCUUAUAUUCUUUGUAGGAUGAAUAAGGGCACUGCUACCUUUACUUAAUUUUAUAGUUUUUUGUCCUACAAGAAAAAACUCAUGCAGUUUUAGUCCCUUCUAAAAUCAAAUUUAUUUAAUUAUCCUUAAACACUUAAAAUUUUGAAUAUUAAGAAUAUUUUAACAUGAGAUGAAAUAAAUAUGAAUUAUUUAAAAGCCAAAAGUUCAACUAAAAAUAAUUAAUAUCUAGUCUAAAAAACAAAUUUUGAGCUGUUUUUUUUUUUUGAGAAACUUUUGUUCAUUUAUCAUCUUUUUUUUUUAUUAAACAUUUAUCAUCUUUUUUAGUUUGUGUGAAACGGACAAAUGUGAUAAUUAUUAUGGGAUAAAUUGUCACGAAUAUCGAGGCCUAACUCAUCCUUACAAAACCGGCUUGUAAGGUGAGGAUUGCCUCCUCUUUAUAAACUCUUCUCAAGAGUCCUAUCCGAUGUGGGACUAAAUCCCACUGAGUGUUNNNNNNNNNNNNNNNNNNNNNNNNNNNNNNNNNNNNNNNNCUGUGCGGAUUAAUAGAUCAAUAAAGUAAGUAAUAUUAAUAACUAGUUAAUGAAAAUGCACAAUUAAUAGUAAGUUUGUUAAUUAUGCAAAUGUGACACUCAUUGCAUAAUUUGCAUAAUAAAAAUGAAAACACAAAAAACUGGAGCCUCUAAUUUCAACAUCUCUUAAGUUGAAUCAUUGAACAUUAUUGCAGAAAGGAACAAAUGGAAGCUAUGUUAGCUUUUUCUGUUCGUUCACACCACAUCCCAAUAACACUUGAAACACAAACAUCAUUAAAAAAAAACAUGUUCUUGAACUCACAAAUACAUUUAACACUUCCAUUAAUUCGUGGGAAUACUUCAAAAUUCAAGCUUUUCACUGUCUUAUCAUCUUCUCCAUUAACAGAGUCCAGUAGUAGUAAUCUUCAAGUGGAUGAUGAGGAGUCAGAAGUUGAAGCAGAUUCAGAGAAAUUUGAUUGGUACUCACAGUGGUAUCCAUUGAUGCCAAUUUGUGAUCUUGACAAAAGAGCACCUCAUGCUAAGAAAGUGAUGGGAAUUGAUGUUGUUAUAUGGUGGGAUAGGAAUGAAGGUGAAUGGAAAGUUUUUGAUGAUGCAUGUCCUCAUAGAUUGGCACCUUUGUCUGAAGGAAGAAUUGAUCAAUGGGGUAGGUUGCAGUGUGUGUAUCAUGGUUGGUGUUUUAAUGGAUCAGGUGAUUGCAAGUUUAUUCCUCAGGCACCUCGUGACGGUCCUCCUGUAACUACUCCCUCCGUUCCUUUUUAACUAUCGCUUUUGAAGAGAAAAAAUUGUUUGUUAUCUUGUAGUCGUCAUUUACUUUUGCAUAAACAAAAUUGCAGAUUCAUACGUCGAAAAAAGCAUGUGUAGCUGCUUACCCAAGCACUGUGCAGAAUGAUAUCUUGUGGUUUUGGCCAAAUACUGAUCCUCAAUACAAAGAUAUUAUCACAAAGAAAACACCCCCAUUCAUACCAGAAAUUGAUGAUCCAUCCUAUAGUAGCUUAAUGGGGAACAGAGAAAUUGCUUAUGGGUAAGAUUGUAAGACUAAAAAAGAAUGAUAUUCCUGUUGUAGAUUGGCCUAGCUUAACAUUAAUGUGAUUGUUUUCCUCUGAUUGGUAAUUGAUAGCUUGAUAUAAUAAUUUGAUAUGAUUUUGGAAGAUGAAAAACACAAACAUUACAUUAAAUAUGCAUAAUUUGCAUUGUUAAGAAGUCUCACAUCGGUUGCAAUAUGGCCUGACUAAGUGUUUAUAAACUAGAGGCAAUCCUCACUUUACAAGCUGGUUUUGUAAGGUUGGAUUAACUCAAUUCUAAGAUGCAUGUUAGACUUUUUAAGAAAACAUGUCAUUAAGCUCUUUUCAGGUAUGAGGUACUGAUUGAAAACCUCAUGGACCCUGCACAUCUUCCAUAUGCACACUAUGGAAUGUUGAACACUCCAAAACCAAAAGGUAUGCAUAUAUAUAUGAUAAAUCUUUUAACUUCAGCAAAUUCCUAUUUGUUUUAUAUAUGACAAUUACAUACUCUUUUUUUGACACAAUGACAAUUACAUACUUAAAACUCAAUUAAUUUAACAGAGAAACUUGAUAGAGAAGGAGGAACACCACUUGAAUUGUCAAUUGAAGAGUUAGAUGUAAAUGGUUUCACAGUAAAUCAGGGUUGGACUUGGAGCGAAAGCAAAUUUAUGCCACCAAGCAUCUUUUAUGCAUAUUCUGAUAAAUAUGAACCUGCAUCUUCUGUUGAAACUAAGGUAACUUAUUGAGUAUUAUGAUCCUUAUAUAACGAAAAGUGCGCAGCCAGUUUUAUACUAGUGUUACAUAAUGUAUUUUAAUGCAGAAAUCAUCGGUUCAGAAGAAAUUUGCUUUGAUCUUUAUUUGUAUUCCUGUUAGUCCUGGUAAUAGCAGACUAAUUUGGUGC